This 253-nucleotide ribosomal RNA is filed under the name uncultured bacterium. Its description in RNAcentral is "partial 16S ribosomal RNA". It matches the Rfam family "Bacterial small subunit ribosomal RNA", at positions 524 to 776 of the family's 1533-position model. The record is from RNAcentral.
UACGGGGGGGGCAAGCGUUGUUCGGAAUUACUGGGCGUAAAGGGUUCGUAGGUGGCCGGCUAAGUCAGACGUGAAAUCCCUCAGCUCAACUGGGGAACUGCGUCUGAGACUGGUCGGCUUGAGUGCAGGAGAGGAACGCGGAAUUCCAGGUGUAGCGGUGAAAUGCGUAGAUAUCUGGAGGAACACCGGUGGCGAAGGCGGCGACCUGGGUUGACACUGACGCUGAGGCGCGAAAGCGUGGGGAGCAAACAGG